RNAcentral lists this ribosomal RNA (468 nucleotides) under uncultured bacterium. RNAcentral describes it as "partial 16S ribosomal RNA". It matches the Rfam family "Bacterial small subunit ribosomal RNA", at positions 28 to 507 of the family's 1533-position model. The record is from RNAcentral.
GACGAACGCUGGCGGCGUGCUUAACACAUGCAAGUCGAACGGAAAGACCAUGCUUUUGUGGGGUGCUCGUGUGGCGAACGGGUGAGUAUCACGUGAGUAUCCUGCCCUUAUAUUUGGGAUAUAUUCACGGAACUGGGGCUAUUACCGCAUAGGAUCUCUUGCUCCAUGGUGGGGGUUGGAAAGUUUCGGCGGUGGGGGAUGGAAUCGCGGCUUCUCGGCUUGUUGGUUGGGUAGUUGCAUACCAAGGUUUUGACGGGUAGCCGGCCUGGGAGGGUGGACGGCCACCAUGGGACUGCGGUACGGCGCAGACGCCUACGGGACGCAGCAGUGGAGAACAUUGCACAGUGGGGCGGAGCCUGUUGUGACGCCCCCGCGUGCGGGAUGACCGCUUUCGGGUUGUAAACCGAUUUGGCCUGUGACGAAGCGAGAGUGACGGUAACGGGUAAAAAAGCACCGGCUAACUACGUG